GAAUCAUGUUCCUCCUGUAUUAAUGUAGCGCGCAUCUUCUUGGAAGAGUGUUCUGCUGGGCACAAAAAUACAUCUCUUGUGGCUGCUGAUGGGAUCAAAUCUUCUGCUUCAAAGUAUCAGCAUGUUAAUCUUUUAGUGACAUCUGGAUCAUUGAUCCCCAGUCUUGUAAAAUGCUUGCUCUUUCGACUCGACAACAUGAUAACAGAUGAAAAUGUCUAUAGUUCCUGGGAAGUGGGAAAACUACAAUGUUUUCAGCAGAUCAAGGUGCGUUUUGACCACCCAAAUGUCCGCUUCUGCGUAAUUGGGGAUGGAUGGGAGGAGUGUGAAGCUGCGCAAGCAAUGCGAUGGCCAUUGGUUAAGAUUGAUAUGCGACCAGGAGGCUCUCACAGGUUUCCAGGCCUCACAUCCAGGACCCUCGGAUUUUAUUUUUCUGUUGUAUAUGGGAGCUCUGAUGCUAAAGAUGAAGAAGAGUGAAACUCACUGGAUUUGCAAUAAGCUGUUCUUGGGACAUCUGCCUGUACAUAAAAUCCAACCAACGUUAGGAAUUAUGUCUUGAAACAAUUUGUAUCAAUCAGCUCAGUUAGAAGAAGAUGACCACCUGAUUAGCCAAAAUUGAUUGUAUUUGUUCUUGUAGAUUAAUUGGUUGGCUUCAUGCUAGGAAUUGUAAACUUCUGUCUCGACGUGGAUAUUAAUCUACAGAGUUUUGGAUUUGUUACCCUCAAA
Molecule: non-coding RNA, 723 nt
Organism: Prunus avium (sweet cherry)
Lineage: Eukaryota; Viridiplantae; Streptophyta; Magnoliopsida; Rosales; Rosaceae
Source: RefSeq, a predicted model, not a curated record